GGUGGCUCAGUGGUAGAGUGCUUGCCUUGCAUGCAUGAGGCCUGGGUUCGAUUCCUCAGUACCA
This 64-nucleotide transfer RNA is filed under the name Dipodomys ordii (Ord's kangaroo rat). It matches the Rfam family "tRNA". Rfam says of the family: Transfer RNA (tRNA) molecules are approximately 80 nucleotides in length. Their secondary structure includes four short double-helical elements and three loops (D, anti-codon, and T loops). The record is from Rfam by way of RNAcentral. Lineage: Eukaryota; Metazoa; Chordata; Mammalia; Rodentia; Heteromyidae.